UACGUAGGGGGCAAGCGUUGUCCGGAUUUAUUGGGCGUAAAGAGCGUGUAGGCGGUUUGGUAGGUCCGUUGUGAAAACUCGAGGCUCAACCUCGAGACGCCGAUGGAAACCAUCAGACUAGAGUCCGGAAGAGGAGAGUGGAAUUCCUGGUGUAGCGGUGAAAUGCGCAGAUAUCAGGAAGAACACCCGUGGCUAAGGCGGCUCUCUGGGCCUGUACUGACGCUGAGGAGCGAAAGCGUGGGGAGCGAACAGG
RNAcentral lists this ribosomal RNA (253 nucleotides) under uncultured bacterium. RNAcentral describes it as "partial 16S ribosomal RNA". It matches the Rfam family "Bacterial small subunit ribosomal RNA", at positions 524 to 776 of the family's 1533-position model. The record is from RNAcentral.